This 1301-nucleotide ribosomal RNA is filed under the name metagenome. RNAcentral describes it as "bacterial LSU rRNA". It matches the Rfam family "Bacterial large subunit ribosomal RNA", at positions 1633 to 2925 of the family's 2925-position model. The record is from RNAcentral.
CCUACACGACCGUACCGCAAACCGACACUGGUGCGCGAGAUGAGUAUUCUAGGGCGCUUGAGAGAACUCAGGAGAAGGAACUCGGCAAAUUGACACCGUAACUUCGGAAGAAGGUGUGCCUUUAGUAGGUGAACCUGUACAAGGGGAGCCCAAUGAGGUUGCAAAAAAUCGGUGGCUGCGACUGUUUAAUAAAAACACAGCACUCUGCAAACACGAAAGUGGACGUAUAGGGUGUGACGCCUGCCCGGUGCUGGAAGAUUAAAUGAUGGGGUGCAAGCUCUUGAUUGAAGUCCCAGUAAACGGCGGCCGUAACGAUAACGGUCCUAAGGUAGCGAAAUUCCUUGUCGGGUAAGUUCCGACCUGCACGAAUGGCGUAACGAUGGCCACACUGUCUCCUCCUGAGACUCAGCGAAGUUGGAAUGUUUGUGAUGAUGCAAUCUCCCCGCGGAAAGACGGAAAGACCCCAUGAACCUUUACUGUAGCUUUGUAUUGGACUUUGAACAGAUCUGUGUAGGAUAGGUGGGAGGCUUUGAAGUGUGGUCGCUAGAUCGCAUGGAGCCAACGUUGAAAUACCACCCUGGUGUGUUUGAGGUUCUAACCUAGGCCCGUAAUCCGGGUCGGGGACAGUGCAUGGUAGGCAGUUUGACUGGGGCGGUCUCCUCCCAAAGCGUAACGGAGGAGUUCGAAGGUACGCUAGGUACGGUCGGACAUCGUGCUAAUAGUGCAAUGGCAUAAGCGUGCUUAACUGCGAGACUGACAAGUCGAGCAGAUGCGAAAGCAGGACAUAGUGAUCCGGUGGUUCUGUAUGGAAGGGCCAUCGCUCAACGGAUAAAAGGUACUCUGGGGAUAACAGGCUGAUACCGCCCAAGAGUUCAUAUCGACGGCGGUGUUUGGCACCUCGAUGUCGGCUCAUCUCAUCCUGGGGCUGUAGCCGGUCCCAAGGGUAUGGCUGUUCGCCAUUUAAAGAGGUACGUGAGCUGGGUUUAAAACGUCGUGAGACAGUUUGGUCCCUAUCUUCCGUGGGCGCUGCAGAUUUGAGGAAGCCUGCUCCUAGUACGAGAGGACCGGAGUGGACACACCUCUGGUGUAUCGGUUGUCACGCCAGUGGCAUUGCCGAGUAGCUAUGUGUGGAAGAGAUAACCGCUGAAAGCAUCUAAGCGGGAAACUCGUUUCAAGAUGAGAUCUGCCGGGGCCUUGAGCCCCCUAAAGAGUCGUUCAAGACCAGGACGUUGAUAGGUCGGGUGUGGAAGCGCAGUAAUGCGUUAAGCUAACCGAUACUAAUUGCUCGUGCGGCUUGACCC